AAAGGUAAGCUACUAAGAGCGAAUGGUGGAUGCCUUGACUGGUAAAGGCGAUGAAGGACGUACUAGACUGCGAUAAGCUACGGGGAGCUGUCAAGAAGCUUUGAUCCGUAGAUUUCCGAAUGGGGCAACCCAAUGUAUAGAGAUAUACAUUACCUAUAUAGGAGCGAACGAGGGGAAUUGAAACAUCUUAGUACCCUCAGGAAAAGAAAUCAAUAGAGAU
Molecule: ribosomal RNA, 220 nt
Filed under: Campylobacter jejuni
Lineage: Bacteria; Pseudomonadati; Campylobacterota; Epsilonproteobacteria; Campylobacterales; Campylobacteraceae
Description: partial 23S ribosomal RNA
Rfam family: Bacterial large subunit ribosomal RNA
Source: RNAcentral